This 1210-nucleotide small RNA is filed under the name Pan troglodytes (chimpanzee). RNAcentral describes it as "processed transcript". The record is from RNAcentral. Lineage: Eukaryota; Metazoa; Chordata; Mammalia; Primates; Hominidae.
AUUUGCUCUGUAAGGACUGCUUCCAGGGCUUGAUACAGGAGCUAGGGCAGAUUGCCAAGGCUCAUGAGACUGUUGCAGAUGCCACAGCCUAGCUGAGAUUCUCCCCAGCAACUAGGAAGAUGGGUCUGCGUCACCUCUCAGGUACUGAGGAGACCAGCUGGGCAAGAUCUUCAAAAGCUAAUGAUGGGGACCAGAGCAAAGACAUAUGAACAGGUAUUUAAAAUGCAAUGUGAUAUUCGUUGUACUGGAAGGAUGUUCAGGGUGCUGCGGGAACCCAGAAGAGGGACUAAUUAACUCAUCCCGGGGGAAAUUAAUCCUGCUGCUCAAAGGUGGAACAUUUGAACAGAGCUCAUCUCCUGUCCUGGGUGUGAACGAGUAUAUCUUACCAGGGAUGUAACUGAACAUUUUUUUCUGCAUUGUGUUCCUACUGAGCAACCCAAGAUGGCCAGGAACUGCUCUGAGUGCAAGGAGAAGAGGGCAGCACAUAUCCUCUGCACCUACUGCAAUCGCUGGCUGUGCAGCUCUUGCACAGAGGAACACCGACACAGCCCUGUCCCCGGGGGCCCAUUCUUUCCUCGGGCCCAGAAGGGAUCUCCAGGAGUGAAUGGUGGUCCCGGAGACUUCACCUUGUAUUGUCCUCUACACACACAGGAAGUACUCAAGCUAUUCUGUGAGACAUGUGAUAUGCUCACUUGCCAUAGCUGCCUAGUGGUGGAACACAAAGAACACAGGUGCAGACAUGUUGAAGAAGUUUUGCAAAACCAGAGGAUGCUUCUGGAAGGUGUGACUACACAGGUGGCACAUAAGAAAUCCAGUCUACAGACAUCUGCAAAGCAAAUUGAGGACAGGAUUUUUGAAGUGAAGCAUCAGCAUAGGAAGGUGGAAAACCAGAUCAAAAUGGCCAAGAUGGUUCUGAUGAAUGAGCUGAACAAACAGGCCAAUGGGCUAAUAGAGGAAUUAGAGGGGAUUACUAAUGAGAGAAAGCGGAAGCUGGAACAGCAGUUACAGAGCAUCAUGGUUCUCAACCGUCAGUUUGAGCAUGUGCAGAAUUUCAUCAACUGGGCUGUCUGCAGCAAAACCAGUGUCCCUUUUCUUUUCAGCAAAGAGCUGGAGGUGAUAAUAAGAGGGUUAAAACAUUGGUAAGUAGCACCAAAGUAAAGAUUUUAAAUAGUCAUUGAGUGCAGUGGAAGAGAAAGAUGACAAGAAAAGA